Molecule: ribosomal RNA, 483 nt
Filed under: uncultured bacterium
Lineage: Bacteria
Description: partial 16S ribosomal RNA
Rfam family: Bacterial small subunit ribosomal RNA
Source: RNAcentral
ACUCAAAUGAAUUGACGGGGAUCAGCACAAGCGGUGGAUUAUGUUCUUUAAUUCGAUGAUAACCGAUGAACCUUACCAGGGUUUGACAUCCAGGAAAGCACUGUGAAAGCAGAGUGUGCCUUUUGGAAUCCUGUGACAGGUGUUGCAUGGCCGUCGUCAGCUCGUGUCGUGAGAUGUUUGGUUAAGUCCAUCAACGAGCGCAACCCUUGUGAAUAGUUGUAUUUUUCUAUUCAGACUGCUCUAGUAAUAGGGAGGAAGGAGGGGAUGAUGUCAGGUCAGUAUUACCCUUACACCCUGGGCUAGAAACAUAAUACAAUGGCCGGUACAAUGCGCAGCGAAGCAGCAAUGUGGAGCAAAUCGCAUCAAAGCCGGUCCCAGUUCGGAUAAGAGGCUGAAACUCGCCUCUUUGAAGCCGGAAUCGCUAGUAAUCGCAAAUCAGCAAGUUGCGGUGAAUACGUCACUGAUCUUGUACACACCGCCCGU